UGCUUUUGUGGGGUGCUCGAGUGGCGAACGGGUGAGUAACACGUGAGUAACCUGCCCUUGACUUUGGGAUAACUUCAGGAAACUGGGGCUAAUACCGGAUAGGAGCUCCUGCUGCAUAGUGGGGGUUGGAAAGUUUCGGCGGUUGGGGAUGGACUCGCGGCUUAUCAGCUUGUUGGUGGGGUAGUGGCUUACCAAGGCUUUGACGGGUAGCCGGCCUGAGAGGGUGACCGGCCACAUUGGGACUGAGAUACGGCCCAGACUCCUACGGGAGGCAGCAGUGGGGAAUAUUGCACAAUGGGCGGAAGCCUGAUGCAGCAACGCCGCGUGCGGGAUGACGGCCUUCGGGUUGUAAACCGCUUUCGCCUGUGACGAAGCGUGAGUGACGGUAAUGGGUAAAGAAGCACCGGCUAACUACGUGCCAGCAGCCGCGGUGAUACGUAGGGUGCGAGCGUUGUCCGGAUUUAUUGGGCGUAAAGGGCUCGUAGGUGGUUGAUCGCGUCGGAAGUGUAAUCUUGGGGCUUAACCCUGAGCGUGCUUUCGAUACGGGUUGACUUGAGGAAGGUAGGGGAGAAUGGAAUUCCUGGUGGAGCGGUGGAAUGCGCAGAUAUCAGGAGGAACACCAGUGGCGAAGGCGGUUCUCUGGGCCUUUCCUGACGCUGAGGAGCGAAAGCGUGGGGAGCGAACAGGCUUAGAUACCCUGGUAGUCCACGCUGUAAACGGUGGGUACUAGGUGUGGGGUCCAUUCCACGGGUUCCGUGCCGUAGCUAACGC
This 771-nucleotide ribosomal RNA is filed under the name uncultured Propionibacteriaceae bacterium. RNAcentral describes it as "SSU rRNA". It matches the Rfam family "Bacterial small subunit ribosomal RNA", at positions 76 to 858 of the family's 1533-position model. The record is from RNAcentral. Lineage: Bacteria; Bacillati; Actinomycetota; Actinomycetes; Propionibacteriales; Propionibacteriaceae.